UGGGGAAUAUUGCACAAUGGGCGCAAGCCUGAUGCAGCCAUGCCGCGUGUGUGAAGAAGGCCUUCGGGUUGUAAAGCACUUUCAGCGGGGAGGAAGGCAGUGAGGUUAAUAACCUCAUCGAUUGACGUUACCCGCAGAAGAAGCACCGGCUAACUCCGUGCCAGCAGCCGCGGUAAUACGGAGGGUGCAAGCGUUAAUCGGAAUUACUGGGCGUAAAGCGCACGCAGGCGGUCUGUCAAGUCGGAUGUGAAAUCCCCGGGCUCAACCUGGGGACUGCAUUCGAAACUGGCAGGCUAGAGUCUUGUAGAGGGGGGUAGAAUUCCAGGUGUAGCGGUGAAAUGCGUAGAGAUCUGGGGGAAUACCGGUGGCGAAGGCGGCCCCCUGGACAAAGACUGACGCUCAGGUGCGAAAGCGUGGGGAGCAAACAGG
RNAcentral lists this ribosomal RNA (429 nucleotides) under Chloroflexota bacterium. RNAcentral describes it as "Chloroflexi bacterium partial 16S ribosomal RNA". It matches the Rfam family "Bacterial small subunit ribosomal RNA", at positions 355 to 776 of the family's 1533-position model. The record is from RNAcentral. Lineage: Bacteria; Bacillati; Chloroflexota.